CAAUAGCGUAUAUUAAAGUUGUUGCAGUUAAAAAGCUCGUAGUUGGAUUUCUGGUUGAAGCGACCAGUCGGGCGUUGAUUCGUCUGCACUGGAGUCGGUUUUGGCCAUCCUCUAGGAAAGUGCGUCUGGUAUUAAGUUAUCGGGCGUAUGAUCCUGGUCUUUUACUGUGAAAAAAUUAGAGUGUUUAAAGCAGGCCUUCGCCUUGAAUACAUUAGCAUGGAAUAAUAAGAUAGGACUUUGGUCUAUUUUGUUGGUUUGCAGACCGAAGUAAUGAUUAAUAGGGAUAGUUGGGGGUAUUUAUAUUCCGAUGUCAGAGGUGAAAUUCUUAGAUUUUCGGAAGAUAAACUUAUGCGAAAGCAUUUACCAAGGAUGUUUUCAUUAA
Molecule: ribosomal RNA, 382 nt
Filed under: uncultured eukaryote
Lineage: Eukaryota
Description: partial 18S ribosomal RNA
Rfam family: Eukaryotic small subunit ribosomal RNA
Source: RNAcentral